RNAcentral lists this long non-coding RNA (460 nucleotides) under Brassica napus (rape). RNAcentral describes it as "long non-coding RNA (BNAP_LNC001329)". The record is from RNAcentral. Lineage: Eukaryota; Viridiplantae; Streptophyta; Magnoliopsida; Brassicales; Brassicaceae.
GAAUAACUAAUAUAAUAAAUUUAGUAAUACAAAUACUGUAAAAUGUAAAUAAAUUAAAAUAUUUAUAUAAUUUAUAUAUAUAUACAUAUAUAUAUAUUGAAAUGUAUAUGUAUAUAUGCAUAUAACGGAUUGGAUCAGAUUUUCAUACCUAAAAAUAUUAGUAGUUGUGAUUUGCUUAGUUUCUUACGGAUAUUGAUUAUUAUUAUUUGUUUUGUUUCGCAAAGUUACAUAUAUCCAGAUUUUUUGGUUCAAAUUAAAAUAGAUAACGAAUCGAAUCAAAAUUUACGAAUAUUUUAUCGAGUCCUCAGGGGCGGACGGAGGAGAGGAGUGGGUGUGGCACUUGCCCCACACUCUUUUUUUUCUUUUCUUAAUAGUAAAUAAAACUUCUUUUUUUUUAACUUGGUUUAAGUUUAAUUAAUCAAAAAAAUAAGAAAAGUGCCCCACCCAAUUAAAACAAAAG